AGGUAAGUGGUGAUCUAGUAUGCAAGCAUAAAGUGCUAGUGAAUUAGGGUCGGGCUCUUGAGUCUUAACCAAGAUUUUAGCUAUGGGUACCACGAAGAUCUACAUAGUGUAUUACUCCUUAUAUGGACAUGUGGAGACAAUGGCACGAGAAGUCCAGCGAGGGGCUAAUUCAGUUCAAGGUGUUGAAGCAACACUUUGGCAGGU
This 204-nucleotide unclassified non-coding RNA is filed under the name Hevea brasiliensis (rubber tree). The record is from RNAcentral. Lineage: Eukaryota; Viridiplantae; Streptophyta; Magnoliopsida; Malpighiales; Euphorbiaceae.